RNAcentral lists this long non-coding RNA (234 nucleotides) under Manihot esculenta (cassava). RNAcentral describes it as "long non-coding RNA (MESC_LNC001545)". Lineage: Eukaryota; Viridiplantae; Streptophyta; Magnoliopsida; Malpighiales; Euphorbiaceae. The record is from RNAcentral.
CUGUGUCUUAUGCUGGAAAAUUAACUCUGCAAGGAGAGCCAUCAUUUGGAGCCCAAAAAGCCCAAUGCCAGGCCUUACUAGCAGCAUCUAAAAACCUUGAAGAGUUUAAGCUGAUUUGUCAGCAGAUGUAUAAUCAGCUUACUUCAUCGGAGAAAGAAAAAUUAAAUCAAGAGUCAUCCAGUAGUAAAGAAUCAUCAAAACGGUCUACCAGUAAGAAGAUGGUCAAGAAAAAAU